Molecule: ribosomal RNA, 105 nt
Filed under: uncultured bacterium
Lineage: Bacteria
Description: partial 16S ribosomal RNA
Source: RNAcentral
CUUGUACACACCGCCCGUCACACCAUGGGAGCGGGUUUCACCAGAACGUAGCUAGCCUAACCUGCGAACGGGGGCGGUUACCACGGUGAGAUUCGUGACUGGGUG